UACGUAGGGUGCAAGCGUUGUCCGGAAUUAUUGGGCGUAAAGAGCUCGUAGGCGGUUUGUCACGUCUGCUGUGAAAACGCGAGGCUCAACCUCGCGCCUGCAGUGGGUACGGGCAGACUAGAGUGCGGUAGGGGAGAUUGGAAUUCCUGGUGUAGCGGUGGAAUGCGCAGAUAUCAGGAGGAACACCGAUGGCGAAGGCAGAUCUCUGGGCCGUUACUGACGCUGAGGAGCGAAAGCGUGGGGGAGCGAAACAGG
Molecule: ribosomal RNA, 255 nt
Filed under: uncultured bacterium
Lineage: Bacteria
Description: partial 16S ribosomal RNA
Rfam family: Bacterial small subunit ribosomal RNA
Source: RNAcentral